UGCGCCUUGCCAGCCCGCUCAGAAACUCAAAGGAAUUGAGGGGGCCCGCACAAGCGGUGGAGCAUGUGGUUUAAUUCGAUGGUACGCGAGGAACCUUACCAGGGCUUGACAUACGCCGGAAGCGCAUCGAAAGGUGCGUGCCGCUUGCGGCCGGCGUACAGGUGCUGCAUGGCUGUCGUCAGCUCGUGCUGUGAAGUGUUGGGUUAAGUCCCGCAACGAGCGCAACCCCCGCUGCCUGUUGCCACCACGAGAGGUGGGGACUCAGGCGGGACCGCCGGUGACAAACCGGAGGAAGGUGGGGACGACGUCAAGUCAUCAUGGCCCUUAUGUCCGGGGCUACACACGUGCUACAAUGGCCGGUACAAAGGGUUGCGAAGCCGUGAGGUGGAGCGAAUCUCAAAAAGCCGGCCUCAGUUCGGAUUGGAGGCUGCAACUCGACUCCAUGAAGUUGGAAUCGCUAGUAAUCGUGGAUCAGCAUGCCACGGUGAAUACGUUCCCGGGCCUU
Molecule: ribosomal RNA, 505 nt
Filed under: uncultured Spirochaeta sp.
Lineage: Bacteria; Pseudomonadati; Spirochaetota; Spirochaetia; Spirochaetales; Spirochaetaceae
Description: bacterial SSU rRNA
Rfam family: Bacterial small subunit ribosomal RNA
Source: RNAcentral